UCCACUACUCAGUUGGUAGAGUAUAAAGCUCUUAACCAUGUGGACGUGGGUUCAAGCCCCAUGGUGGAG
RNAcentral lists this transfer RNA (69 nucleotides) under Triticum aestivum (bread wheat). It matches the Rfam family "tRNA". Rfam says of the family: Transfer RNA (tRNA) molecules are approximately 80 nucleotides in length. Their secondary structure includes four short double-helical elements and three loops (D, anti-codon, and T loops). Lineage: Eukaryota; Viridiplantae; Streptophyta; Magnoliopsida; Poales; Poaceae. The record is from Rfam by way of RNAcentral.